RNAcentral lists this ribosomal RNA (207 nucleotides) under uncultured bacterium. RNAcentral describes it as "partial 16S ribosomal RNA". It matches the Rfam family "Bacterial small subunit ribosomal RNA", at positions 568 to 774 of the family's 1533-position model. The record is from RNAcentral.
UGCGUAGGUGGCAGUGCAAGUCAGAUGUGAAAGGCCGGGGCUCAACCCCGGAGCUGCAUUUGAAACUGCGCGGCUAGAGUACAGGAGAGGCAGGCGGAAUUCCUAGUGUAGCGGUGAAAUGCGUAGAUAUUAGGAGGAACACCAGUGGCGAAGGCGGCCUGCUGGACUGUUACUGACACUGAGGCACGAAAGCGUGGGGAGCAAACA